GGAAUCUGUGGCAGAAUGCCGCUGAGGCCAGUUAGGACUGGAAGAUAUACAAAGAAACAGGGGCCGGACUGGACUUUUAGGAAAGGGGGGUCCUCUUUGGAGGCUAGCGGACCAGCAAUGGACAAGGUGAACGCCAGCACUGCUUCUGUGGUACUUACAGGGUGUGUUCAGACUUCGUUGGCUCAUCCCUUCCAUCUUCAGUGAACAGACGGUGAUAAACGUGAGAAGCCAGUGGCAGUCACCAUGGCCAGCCAAAGUAAUGAGACUGAGAGCUCAGAAUCCCAGAGAGAGAGAACUGGGGUCCCACAGCCCAGUUAGCAGGCAUGAUCCCUCUGUGAUAAAGGGACAGGGCUCUGGAGCUCACCCAUCAGGUUGGAUUCUCCUGGGAUACACGGACAGUCCCCCACAGCCACUCACUCCCCCAGAACAGCUGAGCUGCUCAUCUGUAAUAUGUGUGGGAAAAGAAGCUGUUGGUGUCCAUCAUGGUCUCAGGUCUGGUAUCAUCAUGGUACCUGGAGUUGUUGGUCACUACCUCCAAGGUGGCAUAGUACCUUCCCAAAGGCACAAGCAGAUAAGAUUGACAAAGGGAGUGGCCUGCAGUGGACAGCUCAUGUUUACUUAGGCCUUUUCCAUUCCGACCCAGCUACAGCCUCCACAGCCAGGCCCACAGUGACUUCAGCUAGCUGCAAACCUGUGCAACUCGACUGUUCCUUCUCUUGGACCAUCUCUGGCAUUCUAUGCUGGUGCCUCUCCAAAGACACUGAGAUGCUGGUAGAGUCUGCAUUGCACUUAGACUCACUGAGUCUGGAAUUGUAGGGGUGUCAAUAUGUGUUCAUGUGUGUGUAUAUGUGUAUGUGUGCAUGCUUGCGGAGGCUAGAUGUCAACAUGAGUGUAUUCUAUCUCUCUCUACCUACUUUUCUGAGACAGCGUCUCCUACGGAAUCUGCGGCUUACUAGUUUAGCUAAAUUAACUGGACAGCAAAUCACCAGUAUCCUCCUGUGUCUGCCUCUUCAGGACUAAGAUUACAGGCAUGAACUAGCACACCCCAUUGAUAUUUGUUUGUUUGUUUUGUAUGUGAAUAUGUGUGUGGGCAUGUGCAGAGAACAGAAGAAGGUGUCAGAUCCCCUGAAGCUGGAGUUAGAGUCAGCCAUGAGCUGCCAGAUAGACAUAGGUGUUGGGAAGCAGACUUGGGUCCCCUGGGAGAGCGUCUAACCUCUGAGCCAUCUCUCCACCCCCACCCCCAGCUUUUUAUGUAGGUUUCUGGAAUCUGAAUUCAGGACCUCAUACUUGCCUGGCAAACACUUUGCUAACUGAGCCAUUUAUUUCUUCAACUCCUCAAGUUGCUUCUUGCUGGGUGUUUGGGCAGAGAUGAGAAAAAUAAUCAAUAAUAAGGGGUAAUUCUCCUGCUUCAGGGACUGACCUAGUAAAGCAUCCUUGAGUUGGUUUUCCUUGGACUCUUCAUCCUUGACCAGAAGCCCAAAGGCCAGUCUGUCUCAAGCUCUGCUUCCAAAGAAAGAUGUCUAAGGUGUGUGCCACCCUAGAAAGAAAUGACAGGAAAUGACCCCAUGCGGUUAGAAAACUGUCAUCGGUGUUGUGAAGGGAUUGUCUUGCUUUGUCCCUGUACUGCCCAGCAGGAUAGCUAUUAGCCAGCCGCAUGAGGACUGCAGUGUGACGGCGAUUUACAUUAAGCUGAAAUGAGGGUGGAGGGGACGGCUCACCAGGGAAGCACAUAUCACUGAAGCCUGAUGACCUGAGAUUUGUCCCUGGAACCCAUGCACAAAGCUGGAUAUCGUGGCACACAUCUGUAAUGCCAGCACUCCUGAGGUGAACGGGGAAGCAGAGACGGGAUGGGAACAGGCAGCUGCAGAGCCAGCCAGCCCAGAGU
Molecule: non-coding RNA, 1885 nt
Organism: Myodes glareolus (Bank vole)
Lineage: Eukaryota; Metazoa; Chordata; Mammalia; Rodentia; Cricetidae
Source: RefSeq, a predicted model, not a curated record